Molecule: transfer RNA, 64 nt
Filed under: Potamophylax cingulatus
Lineage: Eukaryota; Metazoa; Arthropoda; Insecta; Trichoptera; Limnephilidae
Description: tRNA-Thr
Source: RNAcentral
GUUUUAAUAGUUUAAUAAAAAUUUUGAUUUUGUAAUUCAACGAUAAGAACACUCUUUUAAAACU